Molecule: ribosomal RNA, 247 nt
Filed under: uncultured bacterium
Lineage: Bacteria
Description: partial 16S ribosomal RNA
Rfam family: Bacterial small subunit ribosomal RNA
Source: RNAcentral
AUACGUAGGUGGCGAGCGUUAUCCGGAUUUACUGGGUGUAAAGGGCGUGUAGGCGGGUUUGCAAGUCGGAUGUGAAAUUCCCGGGCUUAACUCGGGCGGGUCAUCCGAAACUGCAGAUCUUGAGUACUGGAGAGGAUAGUGGAAUUCCUAGUGUAGCGGUAAAAUGCGUAGAUAUUAGGAGGAACACCAGUGGCGAAGGCGGCUAUCUGGACAGUAACUGACGCUGAGGCGCGAAGGCGUGGGGAGC